CAGAGUUUUUAACUCCAAACCCAUGUGAACUUACCUAUGUUGCCUCGGUGGGAGCCUACCCUGUACCUACCCUGUAACGGGUUACCCGGGAGCGGCCCCACCGGUGGACUUUUUAACUCUUGUUAUUUUAUGUAAUCUGAGAGUCUUAUUUUAAAUAAGUCA
Molecule: unclassified non-coding RNA, 162 nt
Filed under: uncultured fungus
Lineage: Eukaryota; Fungi
Description: sequence contains ITS1, 5.8S rRNA gene
Source: RNAcentral